Long non-coding RNA from Vigna radiata var. radiata (mung bean), 881 nucleotides. RefSeq lists it as uncharacterized. The record is from RefSeq and is a predicted model, not a curated record. The transcript has 5 exons. NCBI's taxonomy places the organism in Eukaryota, Viridiplantae, Streptophyta, Magnoliopsida, Fabales, Fabaceae.
AACUUUUAUGAAAUCCUUCCUGCAAAAUAUCUCUUCCUAUUUCUCCCCAAAUCUCAAGCACUCCCAACUUUUAUGAAAUCCUUCCUGCAAAAUAUCUCUUCCUAUUUCUCCCCAAAUCUCAAGCCCCAUUUUUCACUUCAGUUUCGUCCAGUGCUUUCGUUCCUUUCAUAGCAACUCGCAUUUUGUUCUGUGUGAUUAUCGACUAGGUUGAGCAAAGUGUGGUUGCCGGCCAGGUUCAGCAAAGCCAACUCGCGGUCAGGCCAGGUGCGCAAGCCAACUCGCGGCUAGGUUUAAUUCUUCAACUUCAUAUUUUUCUGAACCCUCUUCUACCCGGACAUCAAUGGUGAAUUAGAAGUUUCAGGUUAGGAAGGAGAAGUUGGGUAUUUUGAAUUACAAGUCUUCAUCAUUUAGGAAGGUUCUUAUUCUGGAAGCAAGGAAAGCAUAACUGUAUGUGAAAGUCUACCAAGAAUACAAGACUUCGACUUUGAGAUUUAAGUCUUGCUUCAUCUACCACUGUCCCAUCAUCGUCUUUUAAUGAGUGGAAACAAAAGUACAACAAUUUAGAAUCAACACUUAAAGCAUACAUGAUAAUGAAGAAAGGAAAGAUUCCUGAUGAAUUUACCUCAUUCUUUGAUUCUCAACCUCAAGAAGAUGGUGAUGCAAAUGAGUCUGAGUCUCCUUUGGGUGGUACAAUAGGAUCAUCUAGUGCUAGCAACAUUUAGGAAGUUUACGAUGUCUUAUAGGAUGAAACUAUAUUUAGCCUAUGGAUUUUGAGUAAUUGAGUUUAGGUGUUAUCACGAUUCAAUUUAACUUACUUUUAUAUACUAUGGUGUUUUUGAGAAUUGAAUGUUUUAAUGAUAUAUAAUUCAAGACUUUGGUAA